AAAUAAGAAACAAUUAAUGUAUUUAGUUUCGACCUAAAAAUAAGAUUUUAACAAAUCCUUAUUUU
This 65-nucleotide transfer RNA is filed under the name Omophoita sp. REN-2018. RNAcentral describes it as "tRNA-Arg". The record is from RNAcentral. Lineage: Eukaryota; Metazoa; Arthropoda; Insecta; Coleoptera; Chrysomelidae.